RNAcentral lists this ribosomal RNA (584 nucleotides) under marine metagenome. RNAcentral describes it as "bacterial SSU rRNA". It matches the Rfam family "Archaeal small subunit ribosomal RNA", at positions 722 to 1308 of the family's 1478-position model. The record is from RNAcentral.
AACCGGAUUAGAUACCCGGGUAGUCCUAGGUGUAAACGCUGUGGAUUUGGUGUGUGGGGUCCGCAAUGGGCCCCAUGUGCCGGAGUGAAGAUGUUAAAUCCACUGCCUGGGGAGUACGGUCGCAAGGCUGAAACUUAAAGGAAUUGGCGGGGGAGCACCGCAACGGGAGGAGCGUGCGGUUUAAUUGGAUUCAACGCCGGAAAACUCACCAAGGCCGACUGUUAGAUGAAGAUCAGCGUAACGAGCUUAUCGGAUUAUCAGAGAGGUGGUGCAUGGCCGUCGUCAGUUCGUACUGUAAAGCGUUCUGUUAAGUCAGAUAACGAACGAGACCCGCAUCCCUAUUUGCGACCCUCAUGUCCGCAUGAGGCGCACCAUAGGGAGAUCGCUGGUGUGAAACCAGAUGAGAGCGCGGGCAACGACAGGUCAGUAUGCCCCGAAUGUCUUGGGCUACACGCGCGCUACAAAGGACAGGACAAUGGGAAGCCACGCCGAGAGGCGGCGCUACCCCGAAACCUGUUCGUAGUUCGGAUCGAGGGCUGUAACUCGCCCUCGUGAAGCUGGAUUCCGUAGUAAUCGUGUUUCAA